RNAcentral lists this signal recognition particle RNA (148 nucleotides) under Nomascus leucogenys (northern white-cheeked gibbon). Its description in RNAcentral is "Metazoan signal recognition particle RNA". It matches the Rfam family "Metazoan signal recognition particle RNA". From Rfam's summary of the family: The signal recognition particle (SRP) is a universally conserved ribonucleoprotein. Lineage: Eukaryota; Metazoa; Chordata; Mammalia; Primates; Hylobatidae. The record is from Rfam by way of RNAcentral.
GCCAGGCAUGGUGGUGCAUGCCUGUAAUCCCAGCUACUCGGGAGGCUGAGGCAGGAGAAUCGCUUGAACCUGGGAGGCUGAGGUUGCAGUGAGCCGAGAUUGCACCACUGCACUCCAGCCUGGGCGACAGAGUGAGACUCUGCCUCAA